UACGUAGGGCGCAAGCGUUGUCCGGAAUUAUUGGGCGUAAAGAGCUCGUAGGCGGCUUGUCACGUCGGUUGUGAAAGCCCGGGGCUUAACCCCGGGUCUGCAGUCGAUACGGGCAGGCUAGAGUGUGGUAGGGGAGAUCGGAAUUCCUGGUGUAGCGGUGGAAUGCGCAGAUAUCAGGAGGAACACCGGUGGCGAAGGCGGGUCUCUGGGCAGUAACUGACGCUGAGGAGCGAAAGCGUGAGGAGCGAACAGG
This 253-nucleotide ribosomal RNA is filed under the name uncultured bacterium. RNAcentral describes it as "partial 16S ribosomal RNA". It matches the Rfam family "Bacterial small subunit ribosomal RNA", at positions 524 to 776 of the family's 1533-position model. The record is from RNAcentral.